CAGUCGCCACGGUAAUACGUAGGGUGCGAGCGUUAAUCGGAAUUACUGGGCGUAAAGCGUGCGCAGGCGGUUGUGUAAGACAGGUGUGAAAUCCCCGGGCUUAACCUGGGAACUGCGCUUGUGACUGCACAGCUAGAGUAUGGCAGAGGGGGGUGGAAUUCCACGUGUAGCAGUGAAAUGCGUAGAGAUGUGGAGGAACACCGAUGGCGAAGGCAGCCCCCUGGGCCAAUACUGACGCUCAUGCACGAAAGCGUGGGGAGCAAACAGGAUUAGAUACCCGGGUAGUCCCUGUCUCUUAUAC
Molecule: ribosomal RNA, 301 nt
Filed under: uncultured bacterium
Lineage: Bacteria
Description: partial 16S ribosomal RNA
Rfam family: Bacterial small subunit ribosomal RNA
Source: RNAcentral